GAUGAACGCUAGCGGCAGGCCUAACACAUGCAAGUCGAGGGGUAGAACACUUCGGUGUUUGAGACCGGCGCACGGGUGCGUAACGCGUAUGCAAUCUGCCUUACACUAAGGGAUAGCCCAGAGAAAUUUGGAUUAAUACCUUAUAGUAUAUUGAUGUGGCAUCACAUUAUUAUUAAAGAUUUAUUGGUGUAAGAUGAGCAUGCGUCCCAUUAGCUAGUUGGUAUGGUAACGGCAUACCAAGGCGAUGAUGGGUAGGGGUCCUGAGAGGGAAAUCCACGAGCCUGGAACUGUAAAACGGACCAGCCUACUACGGGAGGCAGCAGUGAGGGAUAUUGGUCAAUGUUCGCAAGACUGAACCACCCAUGCCGCGUGCAGGAUGAAGCAUCUAUGGUGUGUAAACUGCUUUCGUACGGGAAGAAACACCUCUUCGUGAAGAUGCUUGACGGUACCGUAAGAAUAAGGAUCGGCUAACUCCGUGCCAGCCGCCGCAGUAA
RNAcentral lists this ribosomal RNA (494 nucleotides) under uncultured bacterium. RNAcentral's name for it is "partial 16S ribosomal RNA". It matches the Rfam family "Bacterial small subunit ribosomal RNA", at positions 28 to 523 of the family's 1533-position model. The record is from RNAcentral.